RNAcentral lists this ribosomal RNA (492 nucleotides) under uncultured bacterium. Its description in RNAcentral is "partial 16S ribosomal RNA". It matches the Rfam family "Bacterial small subunit ribosomal RNA", at positions 29 to 507 of the family's 1533-position model. The record is from RNAcentral.
AGUGAACGCUGGCGGUAGGCCUAACACAUGCAAGUCGAACGGCAGCACAGUAAGAGCUUGCUCUUACGGGUGGCGAGUGGCGGACGGGUGAGGAAUACAUCGGAAUCUACUUUUUCGUGGGGGAUAACGUAGGGAAACUUACGCUAAUACCGCAUACGACCUACGGGUGAAAGCAGGGGAUCUUCGGACCUUGCGCGAUUGAAUGAGCCGAUGUCGGAUUAGCUAGUUGGCGGGGUAAAGGCCCACAAAGGCGACGAUCCGUAGCUGGUCUGAGAGGAUGAUCAGCCACACUGGAACUGAGACACGGUCCAGACCCCUACGGGAGGCAGCAGUGGGGAAUAUUGGACAAAGGGCGCAAGCCUGAUCCAGCCAUACCGCGUGGGUGAAGAAGGCCUUCGGGUUGUAAAGCCCUUUUGUUGGGAAAGAAAAGCAGCAGGUUAAUACCCCGCUGUUCUGACGGUACCCAAAGAAUAAGCACCGGCUAACUUCGUG